This is a long non-coding RNA of Bombus terrestris (buff-tailed bumblebee), 2793 nucleotides long. RefSeq lists it as uncharacterized. The record is from RefSeq and is a predicted model, not a curated record. NCBI's taxonomy places the organism in Eukaryota, Metazoa, Arthropoda, Insecta, Hymenoptera, Apidae. The transcript has 3 exons.
GAAAUACGGGAAGAAUAUUUCCAAAGAAAGGGAAAAACGUUUAUUAUUUGUUGGAACGAUUCAACGAGGAUAUUGCAUAUAACUAAUUCAACGAUACGAUUUGCUCAACUGCUUGCUUGUUUACUGUUUGCAUUUGUUCACGAGUCUUCCAACGUGCUUAAUCUUAUUUGCGCUGGUCUUCACGUUUCUUGAGAUUUUCCUUCGCUUUGCCAUUGAUAUUUGGGGCAACAUGCGAUGGUCUGUCCCACUGAGUGUAUUACACCGCAUCUGCUAUGUAUUGGCAGAUCUUCUUCUUUCAAUAAGUAAAAUUUGCAUAAGCAAUCCUCAGUCUAAAUAGGGUCACUUGAUAUUUCCUAUGUAUAUUGUAUAUAGUACAUGAACCUUUCCAACAAUUGUUCCAACGAUCAGUAAGAAUUCUUUUAAAUGAUUUUAGAGCCUCCUUAUGAUAGGCCGACAUACCUGGGUUACCCUCUCUGUCCCUUGUAGAUUAGCUUUCGCGGUCUCUUCAAUUUCAAUAUGAGAUGGGGUACACAAGAAAACAGGAUUUUCAGUGGCUUGUUUGUUUGACAGAUUUAAAUUUGCUUAUCGGUUAUGCUCAUCAGUAAUCGUAAUUAGUUUAGUAACCAGAUUUUCCCAUUUGGGAACGUCUAGAAAAGUGAAAGUGUAGAAUUGUUUCGUACGUGGGAAAUAUUGCAAUUCAAUAGAUUUAAUAAAAGAAACAAGCGAUUCGAGCUAUUAACAACAUCGUUUUACGAUGUAAUAUAAAUCGCUAAGUAUAGAUCAGGUUUUAGAUAAAAGUGUAUUUCCCAGAAAAGACAUUGUUCAAAGCAAUUGCAGCUUAACUUGUCAACUAUUGCACGACGGCUUCUGGUUUACACUUAUUCAUUUCGAAUAAAUGUUGAUUGUAAAUGUUAAUGAAUAUUAUUUAAUAAUGUAUUUCGUCUUUGUUUUAUUAAAAAUGUUUUUUUAUAUAUCGAUAUACUGGUUCACCAAAGUGUUUAAGACUCAGGAAAUUAUUGUUUAUACACUUUUAAGAUUAUAAUAAUAAUUAGGAUUAUAAUAACUCUUAAGAUAACAAGUAACAAACAAGUAAAUGUUUAGAAAACUUCUUUGUUCAUAUUGUAUAUGUCAUAUAGUUAAAUUAAGCUUCCAGUUUAAUCAUCGAACAGAAAGGCAAAAGAAGCGCAGGGGAAUUGUUCAAAAAGAAGAAGGAAAACCUCGAAUUAACAAAUCGUGACACGUUUCGAGCGCAUGGCGAACUGAAGGUUGCUUACAAUAAAGUUUAUAAACGAAGAGGUCACGCGAUAACCCUGCAGAAUGUCCGCCACAUUGAUUAUGCUUGCGUUCUCCAACAUGGCUCUCCCAGCUAAUUAGCUUGCAUCUUUUACCUUCACGAAAAUAGUAAAUAAGAAAGGUAUUUUUACCGUGAGAGUCGUUGAACAUAAAUUCCGUUAAAUUUCGAUCCAAACAUCGUUUUUUACUCGUCGAUUAAAAAUAAUUAUCCGAAGAUCAGUGUGGAGGUCAUGUUUUUCAGAAGUUCAAAAGUUUUUGGAAGUCACGAAGGAGGAUGUCCAUAUGUAUAAUUAAAUCAGUAUGAUGAAAGAAUUAGAGGAAAUGAUAGUAAUAUGGGACAAAUCUACGAGAAUAUUGCGAUGAUAUGAAUUUUAUAUUUAGAUUUCAAUUUAAUUUUGUAACUUUAGACGUAGGCACAUAAUUCCAAAAGAUAGAAAAUAUUUUCGAUAUCUUGAGAGAGUGAUUUAACAUAAAACUGGAAUUAAAAUGUUUUUCCUCAGACUAUAGAAAUCGUAUAACGAUAAAAACAAAUGCAAUUAAGUAAAAAACGACCUACAGGAAAUGACAGAGUUGGAUAUAUAAAUAUAAAAUAAGUUCACGUUUUCUUGCUACUACUAACUGAUCGUCUUCGACUCUUUUCUACGAACAGUUCACUUCUCUCGAAGUUUCUGCUCACAGGUAUCGUAGAGAAAUUACAGUACAUGAAGGUAGCAAAAAGUAGAUUGCAAAUAAAGCAAUGCUUUAAAUUUGUAAUAAUAAAGCUUACUGUGGCAAUUAACAAUUAUAAAGUAUCUUAUUAAAAUAUAGUAUCUCAUUGAAAUUAUAAAGUAUCUCAAAGUAUCACAUUUAUCAAUAGGUAUAAAGCAAUGUUCUACCUACGUUUUAUUUUUUUAGCUAUAUUCAUAAAAAUGUGAAUAUGAAUAAACAUCCGCAAUCUGCUGAGAAUACCUCAUUCGCAGUAGGCUUCGUUUGAUUUGAGGCAUUGCAUGGACGGAGCGAAAUCUGAGAAAAAUUUUCUUGAAGACAACGACUUAACACGAUAAACGUUAUCGAUGAAAUCAGCUGAAACAUAUCUGAAUUAAGAGGAUUAUACAGUAAUCGAUAUCCUUCUGAAAGUUAUCGCUGCUACUCGCCAAAUAACAACUGGUAAUUCACGAUACACGAUGUAACAUGUAUUCAUUGCAGUUAACGAUACUACAAGUACUAACUUCACAUUUAGUUCUCUUGCUUAUAAUUUACGUAAAUUAAAAUCUAAUUUCAACUGUGACGAAAUAAAUUUCUUUGCAAGUAACCAAAAACGUUCCAUUAUUAUUAUCAUAGUGAUUAAUAAAAUUUCAUUAAUAGUAUUAGUGUGGUUAAUAUCUAUUGUAUGGAAAGGGGGUCUGAAAUUAAAUAGCAAGUAUUUUGCCAUCGUUUAAGAGAAAUACAACGGAACCAAUGUUUAUCAAGGAAACUAAAUUAUUAAUACAAUAUAUAAUAUUAAUAUUUCGUACAUAAUAU